Molecule: transfer RNA, 57 nt
Filed under: Salmo salar (Atlantic salmon)
Lineage: Eukaryota; Metazoa; Chordata; Actinopteri; Salmoniformes; Salmonidae
Also listed under: 1 other name
Rfam family: tRNA
About the family: Transfer RNA (tRNA) molecules are approximately 80 nucleotides in length. Their secondary structure includes four short double-helical elements and three loops (D, anti-codon, and T loops).
Source: Rfam by way of RNAcentral
AGCUCAGUUGGUAGAGCAUGGUGUUUGCAACGCCAGGGUUGUGCGUUCGAUUCCCAC